Molecule: ribosomal RNA, 1371 nt
Filed under: uncultured bacterium
Lineage: Bacteria
Description: 16S ribosomal RNA
Rfam family: Bacterial small subunit ribosomal RNA
Source: RNAcentral
AGGGUUUGAUCAUGGCUCAGAACGUACGCUGGCGGCACGCCUAACACAUGCAAGUCGAACGAAGUAGCAAUACUUAGUGGCAGACGGGUGAGUAACAUGUAGGUAUCUACCCUUUGGCCUGGAAUAACACGAGGAAACUUGUGCUAAUACCGGAUAAGUCUUUACGGAGAAAGCUUUAUGCACCAUUGGAUGAGCCUGCACUUGAUUAGUUCGUUGGUGGGGUAAUGGCCUACCAAGACUGUGAUCAAUAGCUGAUUUGAGAGGAUGAUCAGCCACAUUGGGACUGAGACACGGCCCAAACUCCUACGGGAGGCAGCAGUGGGGAAUCUUGCACAAUGGAGGAAACUCUGAUGCAGCGAUGCCGCGUGAGUGAAGAAGGCCCUUGGGUUGUAAAGCUCUUUCGUCGGGGAAGAAAAUGACUGUACCCGAAUAAGAAGGUCCGGCUAACUUCGUGCCAGCAGCCGCGGUAAUACGAAGGGACCUAGCGUAGUUCGGAAUUACUGGGCUUAAAGAGUUCGUAGGUGGUUGAAAAAGUUAGUGGUGAAAUCCCAGAGCUUAACUCUGGAACUGCCAUUAAAACUUUUCAGCUAGAGUAUGAUAGAGGAAAGCAGAAUUUCUAGUGUAGAGGUGAAAUUCGUAGAUAUUAGAAAGAAUACCAAUUGCGAAGGCAGCUUUCUGGAUCAUUACUGACACUGAGGAACGAAAGCAUGGGUAGCGAAGAGGAUUAGAUACCCUCGUAGUCCAUGCCGUAAACGAUGUGUGUUAGACGUUGGAAAUUUAUUUUCAGUGUCGCAGCGAAAGCGAUAAACACACCGCCUGGGGAGUACGACCGCAAGGUUAAAACUCAAAUGAAUUGACGGGGACCCGCACAAGUAGUGGAGCAUGUGGUUUAAUUCGAAGAUACGCGCAGAACCUUACCAACACUUGACAUGUUCGUCGCGACUCUAAGAGAUUAGAGUUUUCGGUUCGGCCGGACGAAACACAGGUGCUGCAUGGCUGUCGUCAGCUCGUGUCGUGAGAUGUUGGGUUAAGUCCCGCAACGAGCGCAACCCUCACUUUUAGUUGCCAUCAUUAAGUUGGGCACUCUGAAAGAACUGCCAGUGAUAAGCUGGAGGAAGGUGGGGAUGACGUCAAGUCCUCAUGGCCCUUACGUGUUGGGCUACACACGUGCUACAAUGGUAUCUACAACAGGAAGCAAGACUGCGAGGUCAAGCAAAUCCUCAAAAGAUACCUCAGUUCGGAUUGCACUCUGCAACUCGAGUGCAUGAAGCUGGAAUUACUAGUAAUCGUGGAUCAGCGUGCCACGGUGAAUGCGUUCCCGGGUCUUGUACACACCGCCCGUCACACCAUGGGAGUUGGUUCUACCUUAAG